GCGCACGUGGCGGAAUUGGUAGACGCGCCAGCUUGAGGGGCUGGUAAAUGCAAGUUUGUGGAAGUUCGAAUCUUCUCGUGCGCAC
RNAcentral lists this transfer RNA (85 nucleotides) under Polaribacter sp. SA4-10. RNAcentral's name for it is "tRNA-Leu(gag)". It matches the Rfam family "tRNA". From Rfam's summary of the family: Transfer RNA (tRNA) molecules are approximately 80 nucleotides in length. The record is from RNAcentral. Lineage: Bacteria; Pseudomonadati; Bacteroidota; Flavobacteriia; Flavobacteriales; Flavobacteriaceae.